CCUAUCUCCUGGAGAGUCAGGAUGUCUAUUCCUAUGAGAUGUGAAACUCCUGCUCCACACCAUGCUAGCCUGAUAAGUUUCACAGCUGGAAAAGCACUUCAGAUUUAGGACCUGCCUUAUAGUGAGAGGGAAUCUGGACAGGAAGGGACUUGUUUGAAGUCAGAAGUCUAGCUAAUGGCAGAGCCAGAAAAAGGGCUUUAUUCUGGCCUCUUAACUGAACCUGCCACGCAAGUUCAGGGAAGUUUUGUUGAAGAUGGCUCAACCUGAAACUGUUUGCACCUAUACCCUCUGUUCAGUCACAUCCUCAGCAACUUAAGGCACCAAAACACCUACAAAAUGAGCACAUAACUGGCCCUAUUUCACUGGCUCUAGUAUCAGUUCCACACCCUUUGGCUGGAGUCAGUUCCUAGGUCUCUUUAGGCACAGUCCCAUCAGGAUGGGGCUUGGAAGCUAGAAGUCUCAGAUGGCACGCAUUCAACUUGGCAACAAGGGAGAAGCUGGCAUGAGGCUUUAAUUCCACCUUGGCAUUCAGCCCUGAAUCUACUUGGCCUGUCUAGGAGUGCAUGGUAUGGGAAUUAGAGCCAGGGAACAAAAGAUGGCAAGAGCUGCAGGCCAAGACAGGUGAGCACUGCAGCCCACACAUCCGGCUGGCACUACUGUGCUGCCUUCCAACAAUUUGGCUUCAAGAACAUCACCAAAAGAUGAAUUAGAAGGAAAACUACUUGCACAGGCAUGCCGGCCUUCUUCUCAGAGUGACUAGUUUCAUCAGGGGAUUUUAUGGAUCAAAUGAGAAAAUGGGUGGCAGUAUGCUGAAAGAGAAGUGACAGAAAAAAUGUUAAACUGACCAGUAAUGGCAGUUUAUCUCAAAUCUGGAGAAAGUAAACCAUGCACCAUCUUGAUUCCUCAACUAGGCAGGCAUCCUAAACUACCAAACAGGAGAGGCUCCAAGCAGCUUGAACUCUG
This 963-nucleotide long non-coding RNA is filed under the name Marmota monax (woodchuck). Lineage: Eukaryota; Metazoa; Chordata; Mammalia; Rodentia; Sciuridae. The record is from RNAcentral.